GUCUGUGGCACCUGCGGCAGCCCAGGUGGUUUCGGGCUCAGCAACCUGCCCCUCACCACUU
RNAcentral lists this transfer RNA (61 nucleotides) under Polarella glacialis. Lineage: Eukaryota; Dinophyceae; Suessiales; Suessiaceae. The record is from RNAcentral.